Contarinia nasturtii (swede midge) is the source of this 347-nucleotide long non-coding RNA. RefSeq lists it as uncharacterized. The record is from RefSeq and is a predicted model, not a curated record. The transcript is spliced from 2 exons. NCBI's taxonomy places the organism in Eukaryota, Metazoa, Arthropoda, Insecta, Diptera, Cecidomyiidae.
CAGCUGGUGUCAAAUAUCGGCGUUUUAAUCACUUCGUUUGGGGCAAUUGGUGUCUUUUGGUACCAAUUGAAAACAUAUAUAUUAUCGACGAACCAGCUCAAACAAGACCGAAUGACACCGAAACAAAUUCACAACAUUUAAUAAACCAGAGAUUGGACGGAUGUGAAAAGCGAUUGGAUGAAAUGGAUAAACGAUUGAAACGUGUAGAAGAUGGAAGGAAUUCCUGAGCUGCAACGAAUUAAACCAAGAUUAGGAGCGAUUUCUUCGAAUGUGCCUUCAAAAUGCUGUGAUCUGUCACUCAAAAAGCUUUUUUUUAUUCAAUAAAAUUCAGUCAGUCGUAGUGUUAA